AAAUUUGCUACCUUUACCCACUAACACACUCUCUACCCUCGUUCUCUUCCCUACUAUCAGCCAUCAGCCACAGCAAUAAUCCCUAUCCACUGCCAUCAGCUUCUCUUUCUCUUCCCUUUUCACAGAACCCAUUGCCAUCAACAAUAAUCCCUACCCACUACCGGUCAGCCUCUCUUUCUUUUUCCUUUUCACAAAACCCACAUCUACUGCCAAUUUAUUUGAGAAUUCCCUUUUCAGCUUCAGAGUGUCGUCGUUCUUUCUGCCUUCAUCGUGCACCAUGUCUUCCCAUCGUCCUCAGCGCCGUCUCCCCCUUCAUCGCUACACUUCAAGAGUUUCAAUGGAACCUCAGCCUCAGCAGCAAACUCAUGGGAAAUCAACUCCAAAUUGAAAGGCUUUUGGAGUUCCUAUUGUGUCUAAGCAUUGCAAUGUUACAAAAGGAUCUGAUCUCCGUGAUCUCUAUCUAAAGCAAUUGCUAGCAACCAUAGUUUCUUUUUCUUUUCUAUUUUUAAUGUGUAUUUUGCUGAGGAAUUAGGGAGAAUGAAGUGGAAAAAAAAAACAAAUUCUACAUAGUUUUCCAUUCUUAAAGAAGUGGAUCUGAGUAGUAUUGUAAUUUUCUGAGAGGUUCUGGGUUGUGUGUAUCUACUAAAUAAUAUCAAGGAUGUUUACUUGCUUAAAUUUUUAAAAGUAACAGUAGGGAGAACCAAUAGUUGUUAACUUUCAUUGAUUUAGAGAUAUUACUGGUAGAAUCUGCAUGUGUUCAAUUGUUUUCAAAUAAAAUAUUGUAAUAAUCCUUAUGGAUAUGCAGUUUAGAAUUUAUAUAGAAUGAGUCUUGAGUCUUGAGAUCA
This is a long non-coding RNA of Arachis stenosperma, 845 nucleotides long. RefSeq lists it as uncharacterized. The transcript is spliced from 2 exons. Lineage: Eukaryota; Viridiplantae; Streptophyta; Magnoliopsida; Fabales; Fabaceae. The record is from RefSeq and is a predicted model, not a curated record.